Leopardus geoffroyi (Geoffroy's cat) is the source of this 3194-nucleotide long non-coding RNA. RefSeq lists it as uncharacterized. NCBI's taxonomy places the organism in Eukaryota, Metazoa, Chordata, Mammalia, Carnivora, Felidae. The transcript is spliced from 2 exons. The record is from RefSeq and is a predicted model, not a curated record.
AACUCUCUUUAAUAUCUGGUUUAAUAGAGUAGAACUGGAUUCUGAUACUUCUGCAUUCAGUCCAUUACCAUCCAUUGUUUUGGUUGAAGUGUAUGGACAAAAUCCAGCCUCACACAAAUAUGUAGUUGGAAAAAGGAGGAAUAUAUAGAAUCCAGAUAAUUAUGGAUAUUCUUCAAUACCUCUUUGACAGGGAAUGGUUUUGUGAAGGUUAGCUGCAAUAUGGACUCUGAAACCAUAUCUGAACUGUACUUAUUACAUGAAAACUCAUUGGUAUGCAGAAGUUUUUGUGCAUGCUUCCUAUUUGUCAGAGUAUUAAAAAGAUACAUCCUCAAGGUUGAGAUUUAAUAAAAAUAUUUUUUCUGCUUCCUUUAUCAAGAAAUUCUUAAGUGAAAACUGGCCUUUCUAAAAAAUAAGUAUAUGGCAAUGAAGACCACAGUGGUUGCUAGUACACUUUGAUGCCUCUGUCUUGGUUUGUGCCAAGGCACCAGUGAUUUUACCCAGCACUGCCUUUGUGCCAUUGGUGCACUAUUGGUGCAAAUGCCAAUACAGUGAAAGGGGUGAAUAACAUCUUAGUAUUAUUUUGAAAAUAGCUUGGAUCUUAAACCUGAAAGAAUCUCAGUAACUCCCAGGGGUCCAUGGACCAUGCUUUGAGAACCACUGAAGUAGAGAACUCCAUGGUUUCUCACUAGCUGUUCUAUUCAGCUUGGUUAUUUUUUGAGAAGGAUAUGAAAUAACUUCUUGUAUUUUUAAGGAAUUGGCAUACAGUGUGGCUUUCCCAGGCUUGUCACAAAUUAAGAACUUGAUCGUUUAUGGAAGUUCCUUUUGGGUGUCAUCAAAUAAAAUAUUUAAGGCUGUAGUGUUAGUAUGCUAUAGUGAUUGACAAUGUAUUUCAAAAUACUCUGUUUCACAUCAUCUGAGGCUCCUUCUCUGGAUUGCUUUAACUGAAUACAUCUCUCUCACAAGUGUUUGUUGCUCUACUUUGUUUGAAGAAAUAAGAUUCCUAUUUCCUGUUUCUUCCCUUCUGUUUUCCCUAGUGAGGGUGGGACUAGAGAUGAAAUUUCUCAUUUUCUCCCCAAAUAUCAUACAUUUAAAAGACAUUCUGCUGUAGGAAAGCAGUUAUUUAUUGAUUGAUUGCUGUUUGUUCAAUACUGUGUUAAAUGUCACGGUCCCAGACCCUAAACAGCUUUUGAGGAAUGCAGGGAGCACUCAGCAUCACUCUGUCGUAUUGGUACAGUUUAUCACUACGCUAGAUUAGAGGGAUUCUGUGUCACCCUUCAAAUGUAAGGUAUAUUUAUGGGUGGAUAUGGGAACAAAUCACCCAUUUGUGUUAUUAAUUUAGGAAGGCAAAGUCUAAAACUAAAUACAGUAAGUUCCUGUUAGUGUAAGAACAUAUUUUCUGUGUGUAGAAACAGGUGUUUGUGUCUGUGGGCACACACACAUAACUAUGCAGGUAUAAAGAAAAGUUCAGUGAAGAUAAAAACAACUUUUACAGUGGUUGAUGCUAGAAGAAGAAACAAAGGAUUAGGGUAGAGGGAAGAUACUCUUUUAAAAUCCUUUUUUACUGUAUGAAUUUUUAAAUCACAUGCAUAGAAUUCUUUUAAAAUAGUUUUAAAAUAGCAAAAAAAAAUGUCAUGGGAAGAUAAUUUAUAAACUCAUUAAAUAGUAAGGCAAAAAAAUAGUAAGGCAGCAUAUAAAGUGUAAAAAUGUGUGUUGCUGAGUUCAAAGUUGUACUAAAGAGCUCAGUUUGAUCUGAAUAUUCAAAAAGGCUUCAUGAAAGAUUUAAGAUGAGUUGAUAAGGCUAGUAGAAAAGGGAAAUGCUGUAGACAGAAUGUGUCUGGAUAUCAGCAGAGCAUUUGAUAAAAUCUCUCAGAACAUUGUCAUAGACCUUAGAUAAUUGGCUGAAAUGUGAAAUUUAAUACAGUUUCAGAUAUUUGUUGAAUCUUUGAGUUGAAUAACUAGUUGCAUGACCAUAACAAAAAGUGUUAAUUAAUGGACCAUUGAUAGCUAGGUACCAGGCCUGUCUUAAGGUUCAGGGCUCUGACCAUGGGCUUAUCGUGUUUAAUAUUUUUACCAGUAACUUAGUUAAGGACAUUCAGUGUGCAUUUAUUGAAUACCUCCUAGGUUCAAAAAUCAAAAGUAAUUAAGGGGCUGCUGGGUGGCUCAGUUGGUUAAGCGUCGUACUCUUAAUCUCAGCUCAGGUCUUGAUCUCGGGGUCCUGAGUUCAAGCCCCACAUUGGGGUCCACUCUGGGCAUGAAGCCUACUUUAAAAAAAAACAAAAACAAAAAAAAGUAAUUAAGAUAGUUCCUAUUUUUUAAUGUGAAAGGGUAAUAAAAUGAUCAUGUAAACAAAUAACUGCUGGAAUAUAAAUUUAAUAGGCUGUUUAUAUACAGGGUGAAGGGAUGUAUUGUUUGAUAAUAAGAACUAGAAAGAUCUCAGUAUAUUGACUAGAAAAAUUCUCCAAAUCUAACAAGAUAAAAUUUUAUACAAGUAAAUGUAAUUUAUUUAUACAAAUUUAUACAAACAUUUAUACAAAUAAAUGUUUCUAUAUCUACAUGUAGAUAUAGAAAAACUACAUGGGUAUAAAAUGGGAGCGAUCUAGCAUAACAUGUUUGGGGGGAAAAAACAGGACUUCUGAAAUUUCUAGCAGAAUGGCAGGGUACAUUACUUAACAUUCUUCUACACAACACUCAAAAAUGCUUAGUAAAAUGUUAAAAUUAAAAUAAUUCUUUUUAAAUACAUAGUAUUUACUUACUUUACAUACUUACACCAAAAAAGUAAGGAAAAUCCCUUGGGAGCAAAAAUGAGUAGGAAGAUAGUGUGCCCUUUCCUGUUGUAUGGCAAACUAAUUUUUCUGAAGUACCCUGUCACUAUCACAUAAGUAGAUCUGUUAGAAUUUGAAUAAGCAUUAACGGGCUUCCAAGGAGUAAGGGGAAUCUCCCAAGUCCCCCCAACCCUAUUAAUUAAUUUUGAUGAACCCACUCAAACUGGAGUGUUGGGAGUGAGUGUUGAUGUGAAAGUCACUCUGGAGUCAAAUGCCAAAACCAAACAACUGUUCCUACUGCAAAAUGAAGAAACUAACACUGAAAUUUCUGCGUUAAAUCCAGGACCCUAGGAAACAGCUAGAGUUGUUAGCAGUCCCUGGCCACUACUAGCAGAAACAAGGAAACAUAGGUACUCAAAAUUUCCAUAGAUU